RNAcentral lists this small RNA (307 nucleotides) under Pongo abelii (Sumatran orangutan). Its description in RNAcentral is "retained intron". Lineage: Eukaryota; Metazoa; Chordata; Mammalia; Primates; Hominidae. The record is from RNAcentral.
UCAUCUGCCGGAACUACCGUGGCGAUGUGGACAUGUCGGAGGUGGAGCACUUCAUGCCCAUCCUGAUGGAGAAGGAGGAGGAGGGGAUGCUGUCGCCCAUCCUGGCCCACGGUGGGGUCCGUUUCAUGUGGAUCAAACACAACAACCUGUAUCUGGUUGCCACAUCCAAGAAGAAUGCGUGCGUGUCGCUGGUCUUCUCCUUCCUCUAUAAGGUGGUGCAGGUGAGUCUCGCUCGGAGGGGCCGUGGGCUUGGGUGGCAGUUGUCUUGGCUCUGCUUGUGGACCUCCCCAUACCUGGCUACCCUACA